GUGAAUCAUCGAAUUUUUGGACGCAAAUUGCACUCUCCUCGGAGAGUAUGCUUGUGUGAGGUUCAGCCUAGAAAAAUCGACAUCGUUGCUGGUUCGCGGUUGCGUUCAUGGUGAAUUGGUUGAUCUUAAAUCGUUUUGAUUUAAGCGACUUAAAAUUUUCGUUUGGUUCCAUGAACGUUUCGAAGAUCUAUUUCUUACACG
This 201-nucleotide unclassified non-coding RNA is filed under the name Glomeromycetes sp. RNAcentral's name for it is "partial contains 5.8S ribosomal RNA and internal transcribed spacer 2". Lineage: Eukaryota; Fungi; Glomeromycota; Glomeromycetes. The record is from RNAcentral.